RNAcentral lists this long non-coding RNA (840 nucleotides) under Daucus carota (carrot). RNAcentral's name for it is "long non-coding RNA (DCAR_LNC004557)". The record is from RNAcentral. Lineage: Eukaryota; Viridiplantae; Streptophyta; Magnoliopsida; Apiales; Apiaceae.
GCAUGUAAUGACUUGAGGGAUGUAGUGGCUCAUUUUUGCACCAGAAGAGUUGGUUCAAUCUGCACAUUCGACGACGGUGUAUUUGUAACGUUACAAGGUUGACUAAUUUUACAUGGCUGCCGCGAUUUUCUUUAUUAUUAUACAAUAAUAAGUGAACGAAGGAAAAUUCUCCAAGAAAAGGGCAGUUUAAUAAUGGAUAUCUUGUUCCACUAGCUGAAUAUACGUCAAAGAAAGGGAAAGAUGGCCCAAGAACAGUACCUGCAUGUUAUGCAUGUCUGGAUUGACGUGAUAUUUACCCCUCUUGUCCCCGGUUUUUUUUAUUACUUGAUUUAAAAUGUAAUUUUAUAUGUUUUUUUUAUUUUUUGUAUUAAUUUUUAAGUAUUACUACAUUUUAAUUUAGGAAAAAAAUUAAAAUAAAAUAAAAUUAUAUUUUAUAAAAAUAUUAAAAUGACUCUUUACAGGAUACCGCUGUCGGACGACCAAUUUCAAUAAAUGCAUUCUGUGGAGAGAAUGAAUCUAGAGACUGUAUAUUUACCGUUUCAGUGUCCAAAUCCUUUUGGGAGGAAAUGGAUGCAACUGCAGUUGUCUCUGGUUCUGCCACCCUUUGCUUCUUAUGAGACAGAAGGUUGACUAAUUUUACAUGGCUGCCGCGAUUUUCUUUAUUAUUAUACAAUAAUAAGUGAACGAAGGAAAAUUCUCCAAGAAAAGGGCAGUUUAAUAAUGGAUAUCUUGUUCCACUAGCUGAAUAUACGUCAAAGAAAGGGAAAGAUGGCCCAAGAACAGUACCUGCAUGUUAUGCAUGUCUGGAUUGACGUGAUAUUUACCCCUCUUGUCCCCGGU